RNAcentral lists this ribosomal RNA (367 nucleotides) under uncultured organism. Its description in RNAcentral is "bacterial SSU rRNA". It matches the Rfam family "Bacterial small subunit ribosomal RNA", at positions 526 to 896 of the family's 1533-position model. The record is from RNAcentral.
CGGAGGAUCCAAGCGUUAUCCGGAUUUAUUGGGUUUAAAGGGUGCGUAGGCGGAAUAGUAAGUCAGUGGUGAAAGCCUGCAGCUUAACUGUAGAAUUGCCAUUGAUACUGCUAAUCUUGAGUACAUAUGAAGUGGGCGGAAUGUGUCAUGUAGCGGUGAAAUGCUUAGAUAUGACACAGAACACCGAUUGCGAAGGCAGCUCACUAAACUGUAACUGACACUGAGGCACGAAAGCAUGGGGAGCAAACAGGAUUAGAUACCCUGGUAGUCCAUGCCGUAAACUAUGAUUACUCGAUGUGUGCGAUACACUGUACGCGUCUAAGCGAAAGCGUUAAGAAUCCACCUGGGAAGUACGACCGCAAGGUUG